RNAcentral lists this ribosomal RNA (1094 nucleotides) under Williamsia sp. RNAcentral describes it as "bacterial SSU rRNA". It matches the Rfam family "Bacterial small subunit ribosomal RNA", at positions 42 to 1168 of the family's 1533-position model. The record is from RNAcentral. Lineage: Bacteria; Bacillati; Actinomycetota; Actinomycetes; Mycobacteriales; Nocardiaceae.
GCGCGUGCUACCAUGCAGUCGACGGAAAGGCCCUUCGGGGUACUCGAGUGGCGAACGGGUGAGUAACACGUGGGUGAUCUGCCUCGUACUCUGGGAUAAGCCUGGGAAACUGGGUCUAAUACCGGAUAGGACCUCUGGUCGCAUGGCUGGUGGUGGAAAGUUUUUCGGUACGAGAUGGGCCCGCGGCCUAUCAGCUUGUUGGUGGGGUAAUGGCCUACCAAGGCGACGACGGGUAGCCGGCCUGAGAGGGCGACCGGCCACACUGGGACUGAGACACGGCCCAGACUCCUACGGGAGGCAGCAGUGGGGAAUAUUGCACAAUGGGCGCAAGCCUGAUGCAGCGACGCCGCGUGAGGGAUGACGGCCUUCGGGUUGUAAACCUCUUUCACCAGGGGCGAAUGUGACGGUACCUGGAGAAGAAGCACCGGCCAACUACGUGCCAGCAGCCGCGGUAAUACGUAGGGUGCGAGCGUUGUCCGGAAUUACUGGGCGUAAAGAGCUCGUAGGCGGUUUGUCGCGUCGUUCGUGAAAACCCGAUGCUUAACAUCGGGCGUGCGGGCGAUACGGGCAGACUUGAGUACUACAGGGGAGACUGGAAUUCCUGGUGUAGCGGUGAAAUGCGAAGAUAUCAGGAGGAACACCGGUGGCGAAGGCGGGUCUCUGGGUAGUAACUGACGCUGAGGAGCGAAAGCGUGGGUAGCGAACAGGAUUAGAUACCCUGGUAGUCCACGCCGUAAACGGUGGGUACUAGGUGUGGGUUCCUUUCACGGGAUCCGUGCCGUAGCUAACGCAUUAAGUACCCCGCCUGGGGAGUACGGCCGCAAGGCUAAAACUCAAAGGAAUUGACGGGGGCCCGCACAAGCGGCGGAGCAUGUGGAUUAAUUCGAUGCAACGCGAAGAACCUUACCUGGGUUUGACUUACCCCAGACGCUGGUAAAAAUAUCAGUUCCCUUGUGGUUGGGGUACAGGUGGUGCAUGGCUGCCCUCACCUCCUGUCGUGAAAUGUUGGGUUAAGUCCCGCACCAACCCCACCCUUGUCCUGUAUUGCAACGGGUUAUGCCGGGACUUGCAGAAAAUGCCGGGUCCACUCGAAG